AGGACUAUAGCUCAGUUGGUUAGAGCGCUACCUUGACAUGGUAGAGGUCUCCGGUUCGAGUCCGGAUAGUCCUA
Transfer RNA from Terasakiispira papahanaumokuakeensis, 74 nucleotides. It matches the Rfam family "tRNA". Rfam says of the family: Transfer RNA (tRNA) molecules are approximately 80 nucleotides in length. Their secondary structure includes four short double-helical elements and three loops (D, anti-codon, and T loops). Further hydrogen bonds mediate the characteristic L-shaped molecular structure. tRNAs have two regions of fundamental functional importance: the anti-codon, which is responsible for specific mRNA codon recognition, and the 3' end, to which the tRNAs corresponding amino acid is attached (by aminoacyl-tRNA synthetases). tRNAs cope with the degeneracy of the genetic code in two manners: having more than one tRNA (with a specific anti-codon) for a particular amino acid; and 'wobble' base-pairing, i.e. permitting non-standard base-pairing at the 3rd anti-codon position. NCBI's taxonomy places the organism in Bacteria, Pseudomonadati, Pseudomonadota, Gammaproteobacteria, Oceanospirillales. The record is from Rfam.